Molecule: ribosomal RNA, 691 nt
Filed under: uncultured cyanobacterium
Lineage: Bacteria; Bacillati; Cyanobacteriota
Description: bacterial SSU rRNA
Rfam family: Bacterial small subunit ribosomal RNA
Source: RNAcentral
GCGGUAUGCUUACACAUGCAAGUCGAACGGAACUUCGGGUUUAGUGGCGGACGGGUGAGUAACGCGUGAGAAUCUGCCUCUAGGUCGGGGACAACAAUUGGAAACGAUUGCUAAUACCCGAUGUGCAGCAAUGUGAAAGAUUUAUUGCCUAGAGAUGAGCUCGCGUCUGAUUAGCUAGUAGGUGUGGUAAUGGCGCACCUAGGCGACGAUCAGUAACUGGUCUGAGAGGAUGACCAGUCACACUGGGACUGAGACACGGCCCAGACUCCUACGGGAGGCAGCAGUGGGGAAUUUUCCGCAAUGGGCGAAAGCCUGACGGAGCAAUACCGCGUGAGGGACGAAGGCUUUUGGGUCGUAAACCUCUUUUCCCUGAGAAGAAGAUCUGACGGUAUCAGGGGAAUCAGCAUCGGCUAACUUCGUGCCAGCAGCCGCGGUAAUACGAGGGAUGCAAGCGUUAUCCGGAAUUAUUGGGCGUAAAGCGUCCGCAGGUGGCUCUGUAAGUCUGUCGUUAAAGAAUGGGGCUCAACCCCAUACAGGCGAUGGAAACUACAAGGCUAGAGUUUGGUAGGGGUCACGGGAAUUCCUAGUGUAGCGGUGAAAUGCGUAGAUUUUAGGAAGAACACCAGCGGCGAAAGCGCGUGACUGGGCCAGUACUGACACUCAUGGACGAAAGCUAGGGGAGCGAAUGGGA